CCCGGCUGACCCCUCGCGCCGCCCUAGGAGCCAGCGCCGCCCUAACUCCUCUUCCUUCCCGCGACGCCUGCGCUGAGCAGUGUAUUGAGGUCCCACGUGAGGAAACAGCCACAGGCCUGGCUCCUGGUUUCAGCCCCUCUACGAACCGGGACGCGGAGAUCCAGGUGCCAGGCCCACCCUACCUGCACCCCCGCCGUCCGUCCUGCCCCUGCCCUCCGCUGUCCCCGCUCUCAGCGUCGUGGUCACACCCCCACACCCCCGCCGGAGCCAGCACAAGGCUCACCCCCGACGGCACCUGCUCUGCGGCUGCAGCGGUGACACAGGCAGCGCAUUUCCGUGGCCGGGCCUCCCCGCCACGCGGUGAACUCGCCGUGGGACCUGAUGGGCCCGCACCCCGGUGGCUGUGGACUCAGGCGGGUCCCGGAGCCACAGGUACACGCGGCGCCCGGCAGGGCCUUCACUCUUUGCCCCCGCCCCCCGCCCCGCAUGGAGGCCGGGGGGCCCCUGUGAGCUACUGUCAGGCUGUCACUGUGCCCAGGGGCUGUGGCUGUGCCCCCGGGACUGGGGUUGUGCCCUGGGGCUUGGGCUGUGCCCAGGGGCUGUUGCUGCCCUGCAGCUGUCGCUGUGCCCUGGGGCUGUGGCUGUGCCCUGGGGCUGUGGCUGUGCCCUGGGGCUGUCACUGGGCCCCUGGGACUGGGGUUGUGCCCUGGGCUGAGGUUGUGCCCUGGGGCUGUGGCUGUGCCCUGGGGCUGUUGCUGCCCUGGGGCUGUGCCCUGGGGCUGUGGCUGUGCCCUGGGGCUGCUGCUGCCCUGGGGCUGUCGCUGUGCCCUGGGGUUGUCACUGGGCCUCAGGACUGGGGCUGUCACUGGGGCCUGGGGCUGAGGUUGUGCCCUGGGGCUGUCACUGGGCCCCGGGGUUGGGGUUGUGCCCUGGGGCUGUGGCUGUGCCCUAGGGCUGUGGCUGUGCCCCAGGGCGGUUGCUGCCCUGGGGCUGUCGCUGUGCCCUGGGGCUGUCACUGGGCCCCGGGGGUUGGGGUUGUGCCCUGGGGCUGUUGCUGUGCCCCGGGGCUGUGGCUGUGCCCUGGGGCUUGGGCUGUACCCAGGGGCUGUUGCUGUGCCCCGGGG
Molecule: long non-coding RNA, 1124 nt
Filed under: Vulpes vulpes (red fox)
Lineage: Eukaryota; Metazoa; Chordata; Mammalia; Carnivora; Canidae
Description: lncRNA (ENSVVUG00000008321.1)
Source: RNAcentral